UGGGGAAUAUUGGACAAUGGGCGAAAGCCUGAUCCAGCCAUGCCGCGUGUGUGAAGAAGGUCUUCGGAUUGUAAAGCACUUUAAGUUGGGAGGAAGGGCAGUAAGCGAAUACCUUGCUGUUUUGACGUUACCGACAGAAUAAGCACCGGCUAACUCUGUGCCAGCAGCCGCGGUAAUACAGAGGGUGCAAGCGUUAAUCGGAAUUACUGGGCGUAAAGCGCGCGUAGGUGGUUCGUUAAGUUGAAUGUGAGAGCCCCGGGCUCAACCUGGGAACUGCAUCCAAAACUGGCGAGCUAGAGUAGGGCAGAGGGUAGUGGAAUUUCCUGUGUAGCGGUGAAAUGCGUAGAUAUAGGAAGGAACACCAGUGGCGAAGGCGACCACCUGGGCUCAUACUGACACUGAGGUGCGAAAGCGUGGGGAGCAAACAGG
RNAcentral lists this ribosomal RNA (429 nucleotides) under Pseudomonadota bacterium. RNAcentral's name for it is "Proteobacteria bacterium partial 16S ribosomal RNA". It matches the Rfam family "Bacterial small subunit ribosomal RNA", at positions 355 to 776 of the family's 1533-position model. The record is from RNAcentral. Lineage: Bacteria; Pseudomonadati; Pseudomonadota.